This is a non-coding RNA of Vicugna pacos (alpaca), 825 nucleotides long. NCBI's taxonomy places the organism in Eukaryota, Metazoa, Chordata, Mammalia, Artiodactyla, Camelidae. The record is from RefSeq and is a predicted model, not a curated record.
GAAGACCUCCUCGCGUUUUCACCAUGGAUUCGCUUAUUUUAUUCAUCAAGGACAAGGCCGUGGAAAGUUUAACAAGUAUGGUGGCUGAAUUACUCACAGAGGAGGUGUUUAACCAUGCCUUUUAAGUCUUUUGUUGUUAUAUACAGAUGAACUGCUGUUACAAAGGUGCUUCAUUUGUAAGAUUCAUCGGAAGUCUAUGAAAACAGUGGGUUACAGCACUACCAAAACAGAUGACGGCCAUGCGAGAAUUCCAGCCCAUACUGCCCUCUGACGCAAAAACAAAAGGCUGCCCUGCCCCUGGGGCCCCUAGAUUAGGCAUUCAGAGAUUUUUACUCCCUGUUAGGCAGGGUCAACGCCCAAACUCAGCCUGGAAGUAGUUUCAGAAGUCGGACCAUCGCCCCUCUGCACCCCCAUGAGAUUAUGGGAGUAAAAUCUCUGAGGGGGGAAUGAGACAGGAGGGAAGGGGGCAAGGCACAGCCAUUCAAGGAAUGACACAGCAAUUAACACCAGAAUGAUGGAAGAGUCAACUCAAAGGGGACUUUGAGGCUCAAGAUGGUGGGAGAUCUGACUUCUAGUUGGAAUGGUCCUCCCACUUCCUGGUAUGUGAAGACACCAAGCCCAUAAAAACUAGCAACACCGCAUCUCGUGGCUGCUUUUCUCACUCCCUCAUCUUCGGAGAAGGCCUGCAGACUGUCUAGGGAGUGUGUAUCUACUUUUACUUCAACCUGAGCACCCAAUCCCCACACCUGGUGACCUUUCUCUUAACUUUUGAAGCAGCCUACACUUUAUGCAGCAUAUAUCUCUCUAAAUAAAUCUACCUUUACU